UGCCCCCGGAGGGAAGGUGGCCCCGGUUAUGCGCGUCACUAGAUGGCAGUGUUAUACACGCACCUCUGGUGUUUUUUUCUUCUUUUCCCUUAGCUGGUGCUGCAGCACACGACUGCCUGCCUGCCUGCACAAGUGCUGGUGCUCCUCGGGGUGCGUUUCUGCCAGCAGCUGCCUCCCAAGGGCUCUUUCCUCGGAAAUUGAUACUAAGGCACGGUAAAGAAAGAAUUUGUCGUACUGCAUGUGCUACUGGUCUCUGAAUAGUACUUCUGUCCAUCUACAUGCCUGAAGAUGCAAAGAAAACAGGCAAUGAAAGAUCUCGAAGCAAUUCCCUGCAGGAUCAGCGCAUCUGUAAGGUACCCAGCACAAAAGGGACCGAUCUGAGUUGGAAGCUCUUUGUGUCAUUAUAAUCACACUAAUAAGUUCUUUAGCCUGGGUACUGUAGCUCAUUUGAUCAGAUUUUACCAGAUGUGCUUCCUCACAGCACUUCUUUCUCAGUAAUAUUCUGGUUUAGUGGGGAGGAGAAGAUGAGAAGGAGCAGGGCACCUGCUACAACACUUGCAAAGUGAUGGAGGUCACGGUCAGAUCCAAUUAAGAACAAGAACUGAAGAGAUAGUUAGUUAGUAUCCCCGUCAGCUAUCCAGUGCUCUGUCCUCUCUCACCUCAGUCCAAGUUUUGCAUUAAAAUAAUUUCCUGCCUUGAUUUUCCUCCUUUGUUUAAUUAUCUGUAUUGUUUGCUCUAUUUCUUUUCAUGUUACAUUUAUUAAGCUAUUUCUUUCCCUGUUGGCUUAACUGCAAAAGUCUUGUGUUGAAUAUGCAUGGAAUCUACUACAACCUUCAGGCACUGGUGAAUCUCCAAUACUGUUAUUUUAUAAUAGAUAUUUUGUGGACACUACACACACAGUAGUAGUAAAUUUAUUGAAGUGUAAAGAGAAAAAAACCGCUCGGUACAAUGCAGUGCUUCAGGACCACAAUUUGGUAUAGCUCUCCAUCACAGACAAACAUCAAGUUAUACUGUCUGUCAUAAAAGAAUUGGAUGUGAUAAAUUCUGUGAGCAGUAUAUUAAAUUUAAGGCUUGAAAACUAGCCACUUUCACAGUGCCAGCUCCAGGAAGCUGGCUCGAUUUCCCUUUGGCUUGAUAUUUAACAAAUUGCCAUGAAAUUAUGUGGGUGUUCCUUUCUUUCUCUUCAAAACACUGCCUUUUGAAACUUCACUCUUCAAUAUUUUCUGUGCACAUCCUAAUGGAUAAACAUUCACAUCUCAGGAUUUCUCACAAUUGGCAGAAAUUGGCAGCUUUGUUGUUUGUGAGAAGAGGCAAAGGACAGAAAUGGAAUGGCAUUAUUGCCCCAUAAAUGUGAUUUCAUCAAAUGAGCCUGCAAGCCUGGAAAAUUCAUAGUUCUCCCUUUGGAUUGCUUCAACACUGGAUGUGUUCUGUGGAUAAUGCGGGGACUUGCAUGCCUGGUCCAAAACCAGCUGAAGUUGGCAGAAAGAUUCAAUUGUUUUGAUGGUAAUUCUUUGGAAUAUAUGUCCUUAUCUACUGACAUGGAUUAAAAUAAGUAUACGGAAAUACCUGUGCCAAGCUUCUGUUCCAUCCUCACUGCCAGAUGACAACUCAGGGAAAGCACUCAUGGUUUUGCUGCUUUUCAGAUGGGGAAACCCAGUCUUGAUGUAAGUGGGAGCCUGCCAAAUCAAGUAAAUGAUGCAUCAGCUGAAAGACUGCAAGAGAAUUUUUACGCUGUGUGUCUAGAAGCGGGAU
Molecule: long non-coding RNA, 1752 nt
Organism: Anas platyrhynchos (mallard)
Lineage: Eukaryota; Metazoa; Chordata; Aves; Anseriformes; Anatidae
Source: RefSeq, a predicted model, not a curated record